AACGAACGCUGGCGGCAGGCUUAACACAUGCAAGUCGAACGCGUGUAGCAAUACACGAGUGGCGCACGGGUGAGUAACGCGUGGAUAUCUGCCUUUUGGUUCGGAAUAACCCCGGGAAACUGGGGCUAAUACCGGAUGGUUCCUUCGGGAUAAAGAUUUAUCGCCAAAAGAUGAGUCCGCGUACGAUUAGCUAGUUGGUGAGGUAAUGGCUCACCAAGGCGACGAUCGUUAGCUGGCUGAGAGGACGAUCAGCCACACUGGGACUGAGACACGGCCCAGACUCCUACGGAGGCAGCAGUGGGGAAUAUUGGACAAUGGGGCAACCCUGAUCCAGCCAUGCCGCGUGAGUGAUGAAGGCCUUCGGGUU
RNAcentral lists this ribosomal RNA (367 nucleotides) under uncultured bacterium. RNAcentral describes it as "bacterial SSU rRNA". It matches the Rfam family "Bacterial small subunit ribosomal RNA", at positions 29 to 424 of the family's 1533-position model. The record is from RNAcentral.